CAAGUCGAACGGAAAGGCCCUUCGGGGUGCUCGAGUGGCGAACGGGUGAGUAACACGUGGGUGAUCUGCCCUGCACUUUGGGAUAAGCCUGGGAAACUGGGUCUAAUACCGGAUAGGACCACGCGCUUCAUGGUGUGUGGUGGAAAGCUUUUGCGGUGUGGGAUGGGCCCGCGGCCUAUCAGCUUGUUGGUGGGGUAAUGGCCUACCAAGGCGACGACGGGUAGCCGGCCUGAGAGGGUGACCGGCCACACUGGGACUGAGAUACGGCCCAGACUCCUACGGGAGGCAGCAGUGGGGAAUAUUGCACAAUGGGCGCAAGCCUGAUGCAGCGACGCCGCGUGAGGGAUGACGGCCUUCGGGUUGUAAACCUCUUUCGCCAGGGACGAAGAGAGAUUGACGGUACCUGGAGAAGAAGGACCGGCCAACUACGUGCCAGCAGCCGCGGUAAUACGUAGGGUCCGAGCGUUGUCCGGAAUUACUGGGCGUAAAGAGCUCGUAGGUGGUUUGUCGCGUUGUUCGUGAAAACUCACAACUCAAUUGUGGGCGUGCGGGCGAUACGGGCAGACUGGAGUACUGCAGGGGAGACUGGAAUUCCUGGUGUAGCGGUGGAAUGCGCAGAUAUCAGGAGGAACACCGGUGGCGAAGGCGGGUCUCUGGGCAGUAACUGACGCUGAGGAGCGAAAGCGUGGGGAGCGAACAGGAUUAGAUACCCUGGUAGUCCACGCCGUAAACGGUGGGUACUAGGUGUGGGUUUCCUUCCUUGGGAUCCGUGCCGUAGCUAACGCAUUAAGUACCCCGCCUGGGGAGUACGGCCGCAAGGCUAAAACUCAAAGGAAUUGACGGGGGCCCGCACAAGCGGCGGAGCAUGUGGAUUAAUUCGAUGCAACGCGAAGAACCUUACCUGGGUUUGACAUGCACAGGACGCCGGCAGAGAUGUCGGUUCCCUUGUGGCCUGUGUGCAGGUGGUGCAUGGCUGUCGUCAGCUCGUGUCGUGAAAUGUUGGGUUAAGUCCCGCAACGAGCGCAACCCUUGUCUCAUGUUGCCAGCACGU
RNAcentral lists this ribosomal RNA (1051 nucleotides) under Mycobacterium kyogaense. Its description in RNAcentral is "bacterial SSU rRNA". It matches the Rfam family "Bacterial small subunit ribosomal RNA", at positions 58 to 1126 of the family's 1533-position model. Lineage: Bacteria; Bacillati; Actinomycetota; Actinomycetes; Mycobacteriales; Mycobacteriaceae. The record is from RNAcentral.